This is a non-coding RNA of Fimicolochytrium jonesii, 73 nucleotides long. NCBI's taxonomy places the organism in Eukaryota, Fungi, Chytridiomycota, Chytridiomycetes, Spizellomycetales, Powellomycetaceae. The record is from the annotation of a RefSeq genome assembly.
GGUUCUAUGGCCCAAUGGUCAAGGCGCCCGCCUACGGAGCGGGAGAUUCCAGGUUCGAAUCCUGGUAGAAUCG